GUUGAAGAUGGCCUGAACAUACGUGAGGGACACCUCCAACCCGGAGCUCUGUAUCUAUUGAAUUAUUCAAAUGUAUUCAUUAAAUGGCUAAUACUUUUGCAUUGAAGAAAAACCUCUCCUGACUCUCAUUGAACACGCAGGGAAAUAGUUAAUGACAUCAAAAAAUCCCAACAAUUGGUGACCUCUGACGUGGAGGGGGAGAGAACAUUGAUCUGUCGUGUUGCAUUGACAUCAAGGCAUGCCAAAACAUAAGAUUCACCAAACUGGCAGCUAAGGAGUACAGAUGGCGGCCAUGAGUAAAAUCAAGGCCGAGAGGGGGAGUGCGUAGCAAAGAACAACAUAAACAAAUGAUUGACCCGCUGCCCUCAUGACAAGAGGGGACGUCUGACUAAAUAGGGAGUGCAAGCAUGUAUUGGGGUAGGAGCUAAACACGCAGUAACCUCGAUACAUGGGAGCAACCUGAUAGUAGUGCAGGCCUACGGAUGACAACGAGGAAGUGUGCUAUCACAAAAGAGGGACAAAGAACAGUGUUCUGUUUGAUCACAAAAGAGAAAGUCACUGAUUUACCAACAGAUGACAAUUUGACCAGAACAUUUGAGGUUUUGAUUUUCAUUUUAAUCAAUGUCUUGAUUCUACCCAUAAUGCUACAACUUUUAAUUUCAUUGUAAAAAGUUUGGACCUUAGCUCUCAAUGAUAUUAUGGUACUUUUGAAUUUUUCAUUGGAGCAUAUUUUUUUACGGGUUUGGAUUCCCUUUUUGAUUGUAAUCAAAUUUUUAAAGCUUGAAAAUUUUAAUUUGAAUUAUAUUGAUAACUAAAAAUAACUGAAUAAAAUAAAUAAUCAUACCUCUUAUGAUAAAGUGCAUAAGGUAGGAAAAUGAAAUUGUGAAAUAAUUGGAAGUUAAUGGGAGUGUUUGGCAAAACAACCCUGAAUAUAGUGGGCAUAAUUUUUAGGAUAAGAAAUGAUUAGAAUGAAGCCAUGGAGUAGAGAGACUCCACCACUCAAUAAGAGAACUAGGGGUGAACAGAUUGUUGAGUGAAUCCAACAGAUAGGGAAUUGAGUUAAAAGGGUUUAUGGGCAUUUUCUAAUAUAAUGAAAGAGCACUAUGUAAACAACAAGGUGUAAGCAACCAUUUUGGAAAAAUGGGUAAAGGAUUGUAUUUGGCAAAUAUUUGUAAUAAUGUUAAUUGAUUUUUAUUUUUUAUUUUUCUUUACGUUUAGAUUUUGGUUAUCUGUGGUUGUGAGCUCCUUUAGAGGAGCUCAAAAGAGGGAUUUUGUUAGAAAUUUAUUACUUAUUAAUUGUAGCUCUUUCAUUUCUUUCUAUGAAUGUAGCUGUGUUAUGCCAAUGUAUGUUAUAUAGUUGUGUCAUGUUUAUGCAUGUAAUUUAGCUGUGUCAUGUUCAUGUAUGUACGUCAAGAGGGGCCAGGGUCUGUGGUGCCAAGGCCAGAUAAUACAGAACGUAAAGGACCACACCCGGCCAAUUCCUAGAACACCAGUUGUUUACACAUGUGUAUAAAAGUGGUUGGAAGGAAAGAGUUGUUGUUGAAGAUGGCCUGAACAUACGUGAGGGACACCUCCAACCCGGAGCUCUGUAUCUAUUGAAUUAUUCAAAUGUAUUCAUUAAAUGGCUAAUACUUUUGCAUUGAAG
This is a non-coding RNA of Danio rerio (zebrafish), 1645 nucleotides long. NCBI's taxonomy places the organism in Eukaryota, Metazoa, Chordata, Actinopteri, Cypriniformes, Danionidae. The record is from Ensembl.